AACGAACGCUGGCGGCGCGCCUAAUACAUGCAAGUCGAGCGAGAAGACGUAGCAAUACGUUUGUAAAGCGGCGAACGGGUGAGGAAUACAUGGGUAACCUACCCUCGAGUGGGGAAUAACUAGCCGAAAGGUUAGCUAAUACCGCGUACGCUCCUUGGACUUCGGUUCAGGGAGGAAAGCGAUACCGUGGGUAUCGCGCUCUUGGAUGGGCUCAUGUCCUAUCAGCUUGUUGGUGAGGUAACGGCUCACCAAGGCUUCGACGGGUAGCUGGUCUGAGAGGACGAUCAGCCACACUGGCACUGCGACACGGGCCAGACUCCUACGGGAGGCAGCAGUAAGGAAUAUUGCGCAAUGGGCGAAAGCCUGACGCAGCGACGCCGCGUGGGGGAUGAAGGUCUUCGGAUUGUAAACCCCUUUCGGGA
This 422-nucleotide ribosomal RNA is filed under the name uncultured bacterium. RNAcentral's name for it is "bacterial SSU rRNA". It matches the Rfam family "Bacterial small subunit ribosomal RNA", at positions 29 to 441 of the family's 1533-position model. The record is from RNAcentral.